GACGAACGCUGGCGGCGUGCUUAACACAUGCAAGUCGAACGGAAAGGCCCUGCUUUUGUGUGGUGCUCGAGUGGCGAACGGGUGAGUAACACGUGAGUAACCUGCCCUUGACUUUGGGAUAACUUCAGGAAACUGGGGCUAAUACCGGAUAGGAGCUCCUGCUGCAUGGUGGGGGUUGGAAAGUUUCGGCGGUUGGGGAUGGACUCGCGGCUUAUCAGCUUGUUGGUGGGGUAGUGGCUUACCAAGGCUUUGACGGGUAGCCGGCCUGAGAGGGUGACCGGCCACAUUGGGACUGAGAUACGGCCCAGACUCCUACGGGAGGCAGCAGUGGGGAAUAUUGCACAAUGGGCGGAAGCCUGAUGCAGAAACGCCGCGUGCGGGAUGACGGCCUUCGGGUUGUAAACCGCUUUCGCCUGUGACGAAGCGUGAGUGACGGUAAUGGGUAAAGAAGCACCGGCUAACUACGUG
RNAcentral lists this ribosomal RNA (468 nucleotides) under uncultured bacterium. RNAcentral's name for it is "partial 16S ribosomal RNA". It matches the Rfam family "Bacterial small subunit ribosomal RNA", at positions 28 to 507 of the family's 1533-position model. The record is from RNAcentral.